This 203-nucleotide long non-coding RNA is filed under the name Elaeis guineensis (African oil palm). Its description in RNAcentral is "long non-coding RNA (EGUI_LNC029277)". Lineage: Eukaryota; Viridiplantae; Streptophyta; Magnoliopsida; Arecales; Arecaceae. The record is from RNAcentral.
GAUGGUAAGAUCCCACGAUAACUAUAUAUGAAAAUAUAUAAUUUUUUAUUUAUAAUUGUUCAAAAAUAAUAAUAUUAUAUCAGAUAGGUUAAAAAUUUUUAUGAUGCUUAUAUAAUUUUAAGCCCAUCAAAAUGCCGCUAUUUUUAGUGGCGCCUGUUAAAGGUUAGCGAAAUUGGUAAUAGUGUAGUUGGGACCAUCAAUGG